UACGUAGGGUGCAAGCGUUAAUCGGAAUUACUGGGCGUAAAGUGUGCGCAGGCGGCUCCGCAAGUCGAGUGUGAAAUCCCCGAGCUUAACUUGGGAAUGGCGCUCGAAACUACGUGGCUGGAGUGUGGCAGAGGAAGGUGGAAUUCCACGUGUAGCGGUGAAAUGCGUAGAUAUGUGGAGGAACACCGAUGGCGAAGGCAGCCUUCUGGGCCAACACUGACGCUCAUGCACGAAAGCGUGGGGAGCAAACAGG
Molecule: ribosomal RNA, 253 nt
Filed under: uncultured bacterium
Lineage: Bacteria
Description: partial 16S ribosomal RNA
Rfam family: Bacterial small subunit ribosomal RNA
Source: RNAcentral